This 4632-nucleotide long non-coding RNA is filed under the name Sus scrofa (pig). RNAcentral describes it as "lncRNA (ENSSSCG00025021674.1)". The record is from RNAcentral. Lineage: Eukaryota; Metazoa; Chordata; Mammalia; Artiodactyla; Suidae.
GAAGGGGAGGAAUGUCUAGCCUCACGUCUGAGAAGCAAAAAAGCUCUGUCUGGGCUUCCUGAGAGCAUUUCCUAGUGGCAUCAGGUAAAGGCCAGGGGGAUAUUCAACUUGACAAGUGCCUUGCGUUUGGUUGCUCAUCUGUGAAAUGGGACAACAAGGCUACCUCAUGUGACGGCUUUUUGUGGGUGCGGAGGGCUCUGACACCUGGAUAGGCCUUGGGGCCAAGUGGACACAGAGCUGCUGCUCACACACAGGUCGCUGCUCCUCCCUGCCCUCUCUCCACAUUGCAGCCCCCACCGUGAUGCGGAGACGGUAAGGGAGGGGGUCUGGUUUUCGCAGAAAACAACUGAGAAACACCUUUGGGGGCGGGGGGGUGGGGGGGUGGCUCGUGCCUGAGCCCUAGGAUGCUGGGCUUUCUUGCCUCAUUCCUUUCCCAGCCCCUUCCCACAGAAACAACCAUGCUCCAGAGCUAGUUUUUCUGUUGAAGAUAACGAGAGAAGCAAUCUUAAGCAAACAUUAGCAGGAGUCCUUUAACCCAGAAGGACUGAGCUGAGUUGCUGGAGUUUCCUGGUUGAGCAGCAGCAGGAGCUCCCCAGGCCCUUUCAGAGGCUGUGUCUCAUCUGGUGUUGAUAACCCAGCCUUCAGGGACACAGCCACUGUCCCUGCCCACCCGCUGCCCCAGGGGAGCCUCUGGGACACUGAGCUGUUAAAACCCGGCUAUUCCUCCACCUCCUCCGGACUCAGGGUCUCCUGGUCCAGAGGUUGCCUCAUUAUAAGGUCCUUUACACCCCUGGCCAGUUACUCUGAACCUGACUUGCAUGUCAGUCACCAGGAGCUUGGUCAAAAUAUGGCUUCCUGGGGAGUUCUAAUUCAAAUUUAUUUUAGAAUAGUGUUCUUCAGAUUCUUUUCUUUUUUUUUCUUUUUUUUUUGUCUUUUUGCCUUUUCUAGGGCCACACCUGCGGCAUAUGGAGGUUCCCAGGCUAGGGGUCCAAUCGGAGCUAUAGCUGCUGGCCAGAGCCAGUGCCACAGCAACAUGGGAUCCAAGCUGCAUCUGCAACAUACACCACAGCUCACGGCAACACCGGAUCCUUAACCAACUGAGCAAGGCCAGGGAUCGAACCUGCAACCUCAUGGUUCCUAGUCAGAUUCGUUAGCCACUGAGCCAUGAUGGGAACUCCUGUUUUUCAGAUUCUAUCAAAAAAUUUUACUGGGUUGCCAACAGGGUUUUUAAAAAAAUUUUUUUGGAAAAAAACCAUUAAAUAUCCAAGUGCACUGCAGAGUGGGCCUGUUUUCUCCUGAAACUUUUGUGAUUACUUACCAGAAAACGUUGAUGCUACACCUCUAGAAAGAAAAACCACAGUAGUUAACUUCCCAGUGCCUACUUAGUUUUUUUGUUCUUAUUUUUUUUUUUCAAGUAAAAAUAAGAAUCUGUACUGAUUUUUCACUUUUAAAGGAUGAGCUAUAGGUUGUGCUUUUCUGUAUCGGCAUGACACUUACUAAAUACUUUUGUGCCAUGAGUGCAAUUUGAGGUGUUUUGCAAAAACCAGACCAAAUCAAAACAACAUAGCUAUUUCAAAUAACAGAGCAAGACAUUGAUAAUUUAAAAUAAUCAUGAAUCUCACAGGCUCUAAAUGCCAAAGGGCUUGGGCAGGUGGGCAACCAGAGAUGACACUGCAAAUGGUUUCACUUCCCAAGGCCCAAAGCCUUUUAAAAACUAGAGGCAGGGCCAGUAUUUGUUACAUUUUCCAAAAAGCUUAAGCUCCCUUUUAGGUUUUUAUUUUGUUUGUUUGUUUGUUUUUGUCUUUUUAGGGCCAAACCUGUGGCAUGUGGAAGUUCCCAGGCUAGGGGUCAAAUCGAAGCUACAGCUGCUGGCCUAUACCACAGCCACAGUAAUGCAGGAUCUGAACCACGUCUGUGAUCUACGGCACAGCUCAUGGCAACACCAGAUCCUUAAACCACUGAGCAAGGUCAGGGAUCGAACUCGCAUCCUUAAGGAUGCUAGUCAAGUGCGUUACCGCUGAGCCACAAUGGGCACUCCCUCCUUUUAGGUUUUUAACAAGGUCAAGCUCCUCACUAGACAGAAGCAAACCACAAAUUUAAUUACUGAAAACAGAAAUACCUUGCUUUUUGCUGAUAGAGUUUUAAUACCUAAUUAUGCCUUUUAAACUACUUACGACUAAAAUAAAAAAGAAUAUAAUUUCGAGUAAAACAUCAAAAUAAAGUGAAGAGCAGCGGUCUGCUUAAGUCUGCCUUGAGGCAGAGCUGAUGGUGGAAGAAGGCCUGAGGAAGCGACUCCAGGGAAUCACUUAAUUACUAUUCCUUGGCUGCAAAUCAGGGUUAGAAGGUGGUCUCACCCAUUUUUGGGGAGCUAUUGCAUUGUAGCUGUGACUUCAUCUUAUUCAAAAUGCAUUUUACUCAUCUCUACCUCACUCCAUACAGAAAAACUAAUUUGACAUCAUAAACCCUAGUACCAGAGAGUACCAUCUAGAAGAAAACCGAUCUUUGGGAAGUAAGGGUUGGCACAGAUUUUAUUGCGAUGACCAAAAGGACUAGACUUAAAAGAAAAAGAGAGAAAUUGGAUUGCAUCAAAAAACUAAAUCUGCUCAAGAGACACCGUUAAGAACUGACAAGGAAAACCACAGAGAACACUUCACAAUCACUACAAAGUCUAAGUACAAAAGCAUCGGCACGCCCAGUGUGCACAAGAUUUAGAGCCACUGGGUUCGGAUACAUUGCUUGUGAGAAUGUGAAACGGUACCAACCGUUUGGAAAGCCUUUUGACCAUCUACACAAGAAAGUUCAUGUCUUCAUCACACUUAAAAUAAAAAAGAGAAGCAAUGGAAAUGUCCAUUAAAGUUCCAUUAAAUGUCCGUUAAACGAAUCAAAAAUACUGUAUGUUUAAGCAAUGAAUACUAAUUUGAUCAGCAAAGGAAUUUUUGCAAAACCUUGGGUGAAUGCGAAAAACAUAACGCUAUCCCAAAGAAUUCAGACUCUAAACUGUACGAUUCAGUUAGGAAAUAUAUAAAGUCCUAAGACAAGCAACAUUCAUCUGUAGUGCUAAAAACUGGAUCCGUGGUCAGAGAAGGGACCGACUGCAGCGGAGCAGCCGGGCACCGUCCAGAGUGAUAAAGAUGCUUAACACCUUGACUGCAGCUGCGAUUCCACACUUAUAUUUAUCAAAAUGCAUGUACGUUUUCUGUACAUUUUAUUAUACAUCCGUAUCAAGAAAGACGAUUUGAAAAAAAGAGAGCAAAUGAUUGCUAUGUGGAACAAAUCUCAAAUACUAUGCUGCCUGGAAAGAACCCAGACAUAAAGAGCACGUCCUGAAUGAGCCCACUCCUAACUGAAAUCAGAACAGUGGUCACCUCUGAGCAGGGAGUGGUUGGGAGUGGUCUGUAAAAGGGCAGGAGGGAACUUUCUGGGGGGGGUGGUGAUGAAAUAUCCAGUGUCUUGAUAAGAUACAGUUAUAGGGGUGUAUACAAUAGGAACACUCAAACUUAAAGUCUAGAUUUUAUCAUGCAUGUACAUUAUUCCUUAAUGAAAAGAACUGCAUUGCCCCUUCCCCAUCAAAGCAUUUUACCAUGUAGGACUCCUUGAAGCCCUGGUCCUUUCCUAUUGGUGCAACCACUAAGGUCUUCCCCAAAUUCUACAGUGUACUGGGGGCAAGACCUCAAUCUAAACUGAAACUAGAAUAGCAUCUUUAAAUUGGGUCUGUCCUAGAAUAUCAGAAUGGAAACAGUGCCCAUACAUCAAAUCUGGGACAGGCCGAUAAACUUUCUAAGUCUGGCCACCUGUUAACAUCCUUCAAAAUCAUACAAACAGAAUCAGUUACCUGUUCCCUCUGGGUCCCGAACUUAUUUCUUCCUUGAACCAAGUCCAGUUUCCUGCCUUCGGAUCCCACGUCUGUUCCUUCCUGCUGCCAGACGCUGCGAGUCCCUGUCACAAUGCCCCUUUUGCUCUUUGGAGUCUCCAGACCUCCUCCUUCAGAAGUGAGCUGUCAAGAAUAACGGCUUUAUAUGCACCAAACCUCACCUCCUUCUGAUGGCUUCAUACACCAGAACCCACCCUCUUCCGCAGCCACCCGCUUCGGAAUGCCAUUGCAUAAAACAAUGGCAGUGUUUUAUAAGACUGAGUGAGAUUCAGUUCUUUCUAAAACACAGAUGAUUAGGGAGGUAGACAUAUCAAAAACACUUCCCUCUAAGUGUUAUAAAAUCAUCUAAUUUAGUUUCUCCAGAAUUCUGUAUUCUGUGACUUAGAAGCUUAGAAAACUAUGGAGUAGCCUUACCACCUAUCACCCACUCAUAAUCCUUUAUGUAUCCCCAAUCCAUCCUCUCCCCCCUCAACAAAAGACAAAAGCAAAACCAAAAGCAAAACGAAAACCAUGGAAUUGGAACAGGCAUGGACCUGGGACCCUUUGCUGCAGUGGCUGCAGUGCUUGCAUCUGGACAAACUUCUGGAGCAACCAGAUGCAAAGAAACUCUAAGGGACUAAAAAUAACUGAGUGCACUGGCCCAGCUGGGGCAAAUUAUGGGCAAGGAGAUACAAAAAAAACCAAACUCCACUGCCACUUAUGAAGAGCAGAGGGCAAAAGCAGGGUACUAAGCAUGCCCCCUGCAUACACCACCACCAAAG